GUGUUACAAAUUAUUUAAUGAUGUUUCUGUACUUUAAUUUCUCUGUUAUUUUAUUGAUCUUUGAUGGGAAGAUAUUCUGUUACGUUUGUGUUGAUAUUUUCGUUGUAAUUUUCGCUCAAAGUAUGUACAUUAGCGCCAUUAAUGUCCGCGAUCGUUAUGAAGUUAACAGGUGCUAACGAGCCUAUUGUGUCGCAGGAAUGCCGUUCGCUUCGACCCCUUGCAGUGUGCCUCAUUGUGUCCGCCCUGUCAGAUAUAAGAAGUUGGGGUUGGGGUUGAUGAUCCACAUGAUGGUGAUGGACCAGGACAGCUCUGGACCUCCUGACUGGCAGCUCCAUCCUCAACCUCCCUUCCUGUCCUUCACACAUGUGCAGGCAGAGAGGCAGUUUUCUGAAGGAUGGUUAAUGUCAGUACCAACAUGUUGUGAUGGAGGCUUCCACCUGAGCUGAACACAGAAACUUGCACACAGUGAUGGAAGCAGUCGUUCCUGUUCAGCAUUGAUAUGCCGGUAAUGGGUUUGAUGAACCACAGCAUGGUGAUGGGCAAUCAGCAUCAGGACCAGGGCCGCUCACAAGGAGAACCUCCUGCCUUGCCUCUUCAUCCUCAACCUCCAAUCUUCCUGCUCUUCACACAUGUGCAGGCACAGAGCCAGUUUUCAGAGGGAGGGCUGAUGACACCAGCAACUUCGGAUCUGAACCUGAUCAACCCAGCACCAACCACUGUGCCGCUUCUCCUCUGCCAACUGCACCACAUGGCUCCACCAUCUCAAAAAGGCACAGACACUACUCCACUUCCUGCGAAGGAUGAGAGAAGAGCCGACCUCCCCACAACGGCACUCACCACCUUCUACAGGGGUGUCAUUGAGAGCAUCCUGACCAGCAGCCUCUCUGUCUGGCAUGGCAGCCGUCAAGCUGAAGACUAGAAGGCAGUACAGAGAGUGGUGAGGACAGCAGAAAAGCUCAUAAGAUCACCCCUACCUGUUCUCCCUACUACCAUCAGGGAAGCGCUAGCCCAGCAUGCGGUGCUGCAAAAGCACACUGGGAAACGGCUUCUUUCCACAAGCCAUCAGACUCCUCAACGCACUGAAGAAAACCACAUGAAUAACCAAGGACGCGGGAGAAUAUUCCAUGAACACUUCUUUCACCAUGCCACUUACACUUUACUCAUUGCACCUUGUAUACAGCAUCUUCACAUCACCUGUAUGAACUUCUCCUGCCGUGUGUGUGUGUGUCCACUGUGUUUGUGUAUUUAUUGUCCAUCAGUAUGUUAAUCUUAUUAUUGCACACUGUUUGGG
Molecule: long non-coding RNA, 1291 nt
Organism: Engraulis encrasicolus (European anchovy)
Lineage: Eukaryota; Metazoa; Chordata; Actinopteri; Clupeiformes; Engraulidae
Exons: 5
Source: RefSeq, a predicted model, not a curated record